RNAcentral lists this transfer RNA (75 nucleotides) under Lentilactobacillus buchneri. RNAcentral describes it as "Lactobacillus buchneri tRNA-Gly". It matches the Rfam family "tRNA". From Rfam's summary of the family: Transfer RNA (tRNA) molecules are approximately 80 nucleotides in length. Their secondary structure includes four short double-helical elements and three loops (D, anti-codon, and T loops). Lineage: Bacteria; Bacillati; Bacillota; Bacilli; Lactobacillales; Lactobacillaceae. RNAcentral also lists the same sequence under 43 other names. The record is from RNAcentral.
GCGGAAGUAGUUCAGUGGUAGAACAUCACCUUGCCAUGGUGGGGGUCGCGGGUUCGAAUCCCGUCUUCCGCUUCA